Corticium candelabrum is the source of this 378-nucleotide long non-coding RNA. RefSeq lists it as uncharacterized. The transcript has 3 exons. The record is from RefSeq and is a predicted model, not a curated record. Lineage: Eukaryota; Metazoa; Porifera; Homoscleromorpha; Homosclerophorida; Plakinidae.
CAGUGGAUUAUUCUUGAAGAACAAAAAUACACAAGCAGACAGACAUGUGGAUUCAACAACUUUGUCUUUACUGUCAAAGAUGGAGACAACUUUAGGCAUAAUACUGUCGUUUCAUUCACUAGUAAAUCAGCUCAUUUAGACAUUGGAAAGAUGAAAAUUGACAGUUUGCUUGAAGGCAUUCGAGUUGUGAUCGCGGAGGUUGCUUCAAAAUACUCAAGGUUACCGUUACCGUACCCGUCAACACUGCGGUUUCUCACACACGACAGCAAAGGAAGAACUAUAUGUUUCAUUUUGGGAUAUCUCACUGAUUCGAUCCUUUCUAUCAAUGAACAACCGCUCCACCCCUGGCAGAGACAUACAAACAGAAUGGAAGAACCC